CUCAGACACGAAAGCUAGGGGAGCAAACAGGAUUAGAUACCCUGGUAGUCCUAGCCCUAAACGAUGAAUACUAGGUGUUGGAGGAUUCACUCCUUCAGCGUCGUAGCUAACGCGUUAAGUAUUCCACCUGGAAAGUACGGUCGCAAGGCUGAAACUCAAAGGAAUUGACGGGUACCCGCACAAGCAGCGAGGCAUGUGGUUUAAUUCGAGGCUACACGAAGAACCUUACCUGGGCUUGACAUGUUGCUGAAAGAUCUAAGAAACUAGAUCCUUUUUCAUAGCAAUAUGAAAACAGUUUCACAGGUGGUGCAUGGUUGUCGUCAGCUCGUGCCGUGAGGUGUAAGGUUAAGUCCUUGAACGAGCGCAACCCACGUCGUUAUUUGCCACGGAGCAAUCCAGCUACUAUAACGAUACCGCCGGCGACGAGCCGGAGGAAGGCGUGGACGACGUCAAAUCAUCACGCCCCUUAUGUCCAGGGCUACACACAUGCGACAAUGGUCGGAACAAUGAGUUGCCAAGCAGUAAUGCGGAGCUAAUCUCCAAAGCCGGCCUCAGUACAGAUCGAGGGUUGCAACCCACCCUCGUGAAGAUGGAGUUGCUAGUAAACGCAAGUCAGCUAUAUUGCGUUGAAUACGUUCCCGGGUAUUGUACACACCGCCCGUCACACCACCCAAGUUGGCUGUACCCGAAAACACAUACCCCAACCGUAAGGAGGGGCGUGUUGAAGGUGUGGUCAGUGAGGAGGGUGAAGUCGUAACAAGGUAACCGUA
Molecule: ribosomal RNA, 770 nt
Filed under: uncultured bacterium
Lineage: Bacteria
Description: bacterial SSU rRNA
Rfam family: Bacterial small subunit ribosomal RNA
Source: RNAcentral